RNAcentral lists this ribosomal RNA (759 nucleotides) under Triticum aestivum (bread wheat). Its description in RNAcentral is "partial small subunit ribosomal RNA". The record is from RNAcentral. Lineage: Eukaryota; Viridiplantae; Streptophyta; Magnoliopsida; Poales; Poaceae.
AUGAGUGGGCGCCGGGAUCCAUGCCGGCUGUCCAUCAAGGUGAUGCCGGACGUGGAGGUGGUCCGCAUGAUGAACUUCUUCUCCAACUGCAAGCUGUCGAAGACGGAGUGGCGAGAGCAUUCAGCUCGAGCCCACGUACGCCGGCUAGGUUCGGAAGUUCAGAUCGAUCAAGCCGAGCGGAUAAGAUUGUACCAGGCUGAAGAGAUAAACUCUAUUUGCAUGUACUACAUCAACAACGAACCAGAAAAUCAGCAGCGACUCAACCACCUCGGCCGCGCAUGCGCGCGCCCUGCUUAUCCAUCCGCAGCCGGGGUGCGGCGCUCCGGAUGUCCCACGACGACGACGGGCGCGCGCCGGAGAACAGGCCGGCGGUGCCUUCUUCUUUCAUGCGCGCCAACACACUCCACUACAUCAACACGCACAGCCAGGAGGCAGCGAGUACACGCUCCGACGAAGGACGCGGGCACGGCGCCGAGGAGGGGCCUGGCGCGGUGUGUGCAUAGCCGAGACGCACGGACGCGGAGGAUGAGCCUGGCGCCGUGUGUGCAUAACCCUCUGCCUUCGCUGCCGCCGGGGCGGGAGUCCGUCCACUUGACUUCCACACGUCGUCGUCCUAAGGCCUGUGGUCGAGACGUCGAUGAGGCCAUCUUCAUGAACCUCGUUGUGGGGGAGUCGCAGAAGAGGACCGGGCGUAGCACUUGGUACAAGCUCCCAUGGCGGCCGCGGACAGCACUAGAAGAGGCAGCGACGCGGACCUAG